ACUUAAGUAGUUUAAUUUAGAAUAACAAUUUGUGGUGUUGUUGGUGCAUAUUUUGCCUUGGGUU
This 64-nucleotide transfer RNA is filed under the name Nithecus jacobaeae. RNAcentral's name for it is "tRNA-His". Lineage: Eukaryota; Metazoa; Arthropoda; Insecta; Hemiptera; Lygaeidae. The record is from RNAcentral.